RNAcentral lists this long non-coding RNA (3716 nucleotides) under Monodelphis domestica (gray short-tailed opossum). RNAcentral describes it as "lncRNA (ENSMODG00000046604.1)". Lineage: Eukaryota; Metazoa; Chordata; Mammalia; Didelphimorphia; Didelphidae. The record is from RNAcentral.
UAGGCUGAAUGUGCAGAGCAGUCUCCUGGGCAGGUAUAAUGCUUUACAAUUAAAUUGUUUGUUUGUUUUUAAUGUUUUAUUAACUGUAUUUCAGAAAUAUCAUUUAUUUCUUUUGUCCUUCUAUGUGUUUUGUCUGGCCAAAGGGACCAUGCUAUGGAAAGAUAAACAAACCCAAUAUGGGAGCAAUGAGCCUCCCAAAAUAACAGUGACUACCCAAGCUGAUGACUGAGGAGCCACUCCUUUUAAAGCCAUUUUACCAUUUAUGGUAAUAAUAUUUACCUUACAGAAUGAUGUCAGUCUUGAGGUUUUAUGAUGUCACCAAUUGUGAGGUAAGCGGAUGGAGGAGAUAUCUUGGGCCGAGCAAGCUGUGGCCCCUCAGUAUAGGCUGGUGCCUGUGGGCACUAAGAAGCCCAGGAGUGAGGGGCUCAGUUCACCCCCCCACAGGGAGGAUGUUUCCCAGAGGCUGGGCCCGAGAUCUGUACCAACCUCAUUGUGUGAUCAAGGUUCGAUACUUUUUCCAGACCCUGUGGGUGAAAAUCUACACAGCCUUGCCAUGGGUAACUUUGGCCUUAUCGUACAUCUGGAAUAAUUUCAUAGUUCUUUUCGACAUCUUGGCUGAGAAGCUCUAUAAUACAUCAAUGCUGGUAUUGCAGCAGAAUUUACUUGUGGAAUGUAAAAUUGGAUUCUGGAAAUAUUCUCAAAUUAUGCUCCAUUGGAUAUGUGUGGGAACCAUGUGGUUGCUGAGAUAUAUAUGGAAACACCCCGGCAGGGCCCUACUCAGACUGUGCCACUGGGGUUACUACGUUAUGGUUAUAUGCUUCCAAGAAGACGCUUUUAACAUUAUUCUGAGGACCAUUCAAUACCAUCUGCUUUUCAACUUAGUUUUAAAUACCCUAGAUUGGAUUGAGGACCUGAUCUACAAGAAAUACUUAAUUAGCAGAAUGGCAAAGGCUCGGUGGCAUGAGGAUGUGUUACUUUUACUCUCUCCUGUGGAUGGGUGGGCCAUUGCCUCGGGCCUCCCUUCCUUCUCUCUAUAAACCUGCUGCAAGCUUGCAUGGUCAAGCAAAACAGAUCCCUUCACACUGCCAUAUCUUGAGUCCAUCGCUGACAUCUGUCAGGAAGCGUAAGUACAGCACAGUAUAUUCUUCAUCUCUGGUCUUUUGAAAGGCUCACUUCUGCUCUUCCCACAGGAAAUUGUGCCACAUCAUCUCUACCAAUCCCUCCUGUAUCAUCGCCAUCCAGUUGACGUAUCCCAUCUUUUCUGCAAUGGGGUACCGAACACAGGACGAGGUAGCAGGGGAAGGGGGGGAUGACAGGGAUGUUAAACAAAGGAGAUGUGCCAGUCUGAUAUGGGGAAUUAAGGACAGAGUGAUGGGAGGAGCCUUCUAAGGGAACAUGGAUGAUCCAAGGUUACUAUGGAUUGAAUCAGGUAUGUAGCAGCUAUGGCUAACAAAAAAAAGCCUAGAGGGACAUGCAAUUUAAGAGGGGAAAUGUGCACCAUUUAUAAUAUCCACCCCUCUCAGCUUUCACAGACCACUGUGAUCACAGACCACUGUGAUCAGUUUAAUCUCCCUGUCUAGUUUUUCCCUAACAAUCCUGACCUCAUUUUCUAUUGUUUGCUUCACAGAAUUAAUUUGAAGUCUAAUUCUGUUGAUUUAAUAACACAAAUCCAUGAGAAAUGUAAAAGUGACAGUUGGCAGCCAGGUAAGAAGUCCCCAGGACCCAGAAUGCUUAAGACAUGUUAGUUUUAUGUAAACGAGUGAGUUCAUUUGGUGAGUUCAGUUGAAAGGAGCAGCGGAUAUACAAUAUCAGUGAUGGGCAUCUGCUAUAUUCCAGCCAAGAAAUAGUAGAAAUGCCUUCAAGGCACUGAAAGUGAACAAACAUAAUGUGAAUGGGAAAACAGGGUCUGUCUCCUCCACUUUGUAGAGGUGGGGGGACUGACUGCUUAUGGGUAUGGCACAUUAUGCUGUCAGACGUGACCACCAAAUUUGCUUUUGUGGGAUAUUUUUUCUUUCUUUUUUAAGUCAGUAUUUACAUAAUUGCAUUAUUACAUAAAUGUGACAUAUUUAAAUCAUUAUUACAAAGGAUGGCUUGUUGGAGGAGGGAAAGGCAGCCAUGAUAUAUUGAGGGGGGGACCUCGUUAAUAAUGGCCUGUCUUGCUCUGGUCAACCAUGAAACAUCCUGAGGCUUCAUCCCUUUUUCUGUUUCAGUAUCCAUUUUAUGGGGGCCCCAGUGCUGAGUUAUCUGGCCUGAAGCAGCCCUUGAGAAUCCCCGAAGGUGUCUGGAGUAGAAGAAUUUGGACAAAUAAUCUAGGCAUCAGAUGGAGGUGGAUAUGAAUGGAAGGAGCUGAGGAAGUGGUGCUGGGAGGAUGAGGGGAGGGAGGGGGGCGGUAAAGGCAGGAUAGCCUAACUGUUUCUGAAGAUAUACUAGCUAGGUCAGCUAGUCAAGUCCAUGUGAGCCCAUGGAGCAGUCCCAGAGGUAGAAAUCUUCUUUCCCGGGCCCACCAGGUACUAUAUUAGAUAAGGAGGAUCCAUGAUCAUGCCCUAGGCCCAAUGUGGCCUCGGGGGAGCAUCCAGAAGAAUGGAAACAGUGUGGCGAGAGGUCUGGAUCAUCUCUAUGUAUCUAGACAUGUACACACUCAACGUUAACACAGGUGUGUUAUUAUAUAUAUAUAUAUAUGUAUAUAUUAUAAUACUUAUAAAACACACACUAACACAUUCAUAGAUAUACCAGGGCAUAAAAUAACACAACCAUCAUACAAUACAUACAUACACACUGACAACUCAUACACAAAGAUAAUGUAUAAUAUUCACACACUCAUAUACUACAUAACCCCAUCAUACAACACUCGUGUACACUCCAAAUUCAUACACACAGGCAUAUUAUAUCUAUUACUCACAUAAAAGACACACUUGUGUGAACACACUCAUACAGUGUACAGUGCAUGUCAUACAGUGCACAAACACACUCGUACACGAUGUGGCUUACAUGUAUAUAAAACACACAAUAGACACACAACACAAACACUAUACACACCCAUAGAUAUACACUUGUAUACAAAGGCUCACUUAGUAAACUCAACACAUAUGUAUACAAGUGAGCACACUUAAUAUAUACACACUCACACAAACAUGCUUGCUUAUAAAACACACACUCAAACCUGCAAUAUUCAUAGACACAGAAAUGCUCUAACAAUGGAUUUUGUUAUCCCUUAGAGAAAAAUUAAAUGGCCAAUACACAUUGUUUGUUAGUAUAAAAGUUAUUCUGGAACUUGAAAAUGUCUCUGAAAGGCAAGUAAUAAUGUCUGAGCAUAAAGUCAAAAGAACUUUUUCUGUGUUAUAGGAGAUAAUCGCGGACAUGAUUCCGAUCAAGGUGAAUUCUGUUUCUUUUCAUCAAAGGGUAAUUAUCAAUGAUCCAGGUCUAAAUCUGAAUUCUCCUCCGACACCAGGGAACUCUUUCCAAAGUCAGAAUGUGUGUUUAUGGGUGCUCUACCCAUUGAGUUGUUUAACUGUAUUUUCCUUUUCCAAGGGUCACCAGAGGAUUAUGCACUAGAAUUGAACAAAGCUUUAAUGAAGGUAAUUUGGUAAGCCCACAUGCCUGUCUGACUAGUUCCGAGUGUUUGUUUCACUUUACAUUUGGAUGUGAUUAGAAAUGGAAAAGUAAUCACACAGUGAUGCAGAAAUAAAUCCUAAUGCCAGAGUUGGAAAGCUGCUUGG